GAAAUGCGAUAAGUAAUGUGAAUUGCAGAAUUCCGUGAAUCAUCGAAUCUUUGAACGCACAUUGCGCCCUCUGGUAUUCCGGGGGGCAUGCCUGUCCGAGCGUCAUUGCGAACCCCUCAAGCGCGGCUUGUGUGAUGGGCCCUCCCGCGUCUUGGUCGUCAAGACGGGCCCGAAAUGCAGUGGCGGCUUCGCGGUUAUCCGAUCAGCCAGAGCGUAUGGGGACUUUCUCUCUGUCACACGCCCGCGGCGCGGACCGACGCCUGUCGACCUUCAUUCAUCGUUUUCUCGGUUGACCUCGGAUCAGGUAGGGAUACCCGCUGAACUUAAGC
Molecule: unclassified non-coding RNA, 329 nt
Filed under: plant metagenome
Description: partial contains 5.8S ribosomal RNA, internal transcribed spacer 2, and large subunit ribosomal RNA
Rfam family: 5.8S ribosomal RNA (bases 1-105)
Source: RNAcentral